GCCUACUUUGUAUUUCCAGUUUUCACAGCCCACCGUUUUCAGAGACUACACACAGAGACUACACUGAUUGGAAUCGAGUUUAAAGGCAUGGCUUACAUUCAGGUGAAUUAAAGAAUCACAACUAUUAGUAUGAGACUUUUAAAAGACCACACAGGAAAACAUCUUUAUGACGAGAAGAUCAAGAGACAUUUGUUAAACAAGAAGUGAAAGGCAAAAAACCUAAAGGAAAAAAAAUGCUACAUUAAAAUUAAGAAAGUCUGUUCAUGGAAUGACAGAAUAAAGAAAGCAAAAAGACAAACCAUAAAUUUGGGAAAUAUAUUUAUAACACAUUCAACUAGAAUUCUAAUUGUAAUUCUAUUUAGCACACCACUUUCAAAGAUGAGCAGGCAGAAAAAGAUCUUUAGGCUUUGAGGAAAGCAUUAUAUGUGAAAGACAAAGAUCAACGCAACAAAAAGAAAAAUGAAAACUUACAGCAUGCAGAGAAUAUGCUAGAAAAAAACUUAAAAAAUAUAAUUCAUAUCUUUAGAAACAUGUAGAGCUGCAUCUGUUAAAUAAAAACAAGAUGCUAUAACAAACAAAUACUCCAAGAAAAGAAGGAGCUCUUGGAAAAAGCAAAGGCUUUUAUGGCACAAAUGAAAAGCUCAAUUGAAGGAUAAGAAGAUUAAGUUGAAAAAGUCUCCCAGAAAAUAGAAAAAAAAUGACAAAGGGUUAGAAAUUAGGAAAUAAAAAAACUAAGAAAAUGCAGGAAUUAUACCAGGAGGCCCAACGUAAGCAGAUCAGAGAAACCAAACAGAAGAAAAAUAUUUAUGAAAUAGUGGAAGGAAAAUUCUUCAGAACUGAACAACAUGAUUUUCCAGGUUGAAAGGCUCACCAAAUACCCAGCGGAAUGGGUGAAAAUAGCCCCUUUUUGAAUGGCACAUUGCCAGAAAUUUCAGAUCAUUUGCAACAAAGAUCUACAAACUUACAGAGAAGAAAACACAACUUUCAUACAGAGAAUCAAAGUACAGAAAUAUUGGACUUUUCAAUAGCAAGACUGGAAGUAGAUGUUUUCUAAAUUCCCAAGGGAAAGAAUUUUCGACCUACCGGAUUCCUAAUUUUGGGUAUGAGUUAGCAAAUGUAACCAUUAUGUUUGUGCCCUACCCAGGGGACUCCCCGGUUUCUGACUUGAAGUAGACUGAGAAGAAUCCACGAGGUGCUAUCUGGCCAGACUUAAGUAGACUCUGUUUCCUUGGUUCUCCCUCUCCCUGAGGACCUCUUAUUUUGUUGUCCCCUCUUCUAGGUUAAUUCUCCUUUGAUUUGACUUUUUGAGAAGGAGGUUGGACAGUAGAUUAGCAAAGUUCCAAGUGAAAAAUUACAGUGUGUUAGAGUGUGGGGGGAAAAUUAGUCUUAUUUUUCCCUACAUGGGAUACAACACUGUGAAUUCAAUCUUCAACUUAAGGCCCUGCAGUUCUCCCAAAACAUAGUUGUUUGUUUUUCUUUAACAAGGUUUAAGCUAGUGUUAAUAAAUUUAAAAAAAUUGCUUGUCUAUCUACUUCAGCUUUGUUUUAUGCCCAUUUCAUAUUGUUGUCUGUGUUGUAAUUCAUAACUUUUGAUACCAUUUCUGAUGUGUAAAAUUGGUUGUCUUGUAAAUAUCUUAUAAAGAGUUAAAUUGUAAAUAAACUAUUGUGGCUGUUAAAAAAAAAAAAAAAAGAA
Long non-coding RNA from Pongo pygmaeus (Bornean orangutan), 1692 nucleotides. RefSeq lists it as uncharacterized. NCBI's taxonomy places the organism in Eukaryota, Metazoa, Chordata, Mammalia, Primates, Hominidae. The transcript has 2 exons. The record is from RefSeq and is a predicted model, not a curated record.